GGAUUAGAUACCCUAGUAUACUUCAUUAUAAAAAAUUAGUAAAUUAAUGAAAAUUAAUAAUUUUGGCGGUUAAUCACAUUGUUAGAGGAGCUUGUUUGAGUUAAGAUUUCACUCUUUAUAUUUCAAUAUUAAUUAAGCCUAUUCAUCUCUGUUAUUAAUUGAAAAAUUAAGUUAAAUCUUUUUUUUAUCUCAGGUCAAGAUGUAGCUAUAAAAUAUAAAAAAUUAGCUACAAUUAUAAAAUAAUAUAUUUAUAUAUUUGAAAUUAAUUAUUUAUAUAUUGAAUUUAGUUGUAAUAAUAAUUAGAAUUUUAUUGUGAUUUUAUGUAAUUAAUGUAUAUAUUGCCCGUCACUUCUAAAUAGAUAGAAUAAGUCGUAACAAAGUA
RNAcentral lists this ribosomal RNA (382 nucleotides) under Oliverius jordanensis. Its description in RNAcentral is "partial small subunit ribosomal RNA". Lineage: Eukaryota; Metazoa; Arthropoda; Arachnida; Opiliones; Gonyleptidae. The record is from RNAcentral.